CUUUCUUUGUAGCCACCUCAGGGGAAGCAACAGAUCGUCACUCGGUGUUCUCACCGAAAGCACGUAAUCGCCGGUGUAACUCAUGUUGGCUGGGGGGCCUCCCGGCGCGCGCGGAGAGGCUGGGGUGCGCCCCCAUGCAGCAUGCUUGUGCUCAAUUGCAGGGUCCUCGUUCUCGAGUGUGCAGAGGGCGGUGAGAGCUCAACUCUCGUCCCCACCUCCCACCCGCAGCUCCCCGGGUGGGUGAGGGAUGCCCUGGACUGGGGAUAGCCAGGUGGGAGUCCGUCGCUGUGUGGCCUGUGGUCUCGGAGUCUGUUCUCCUGGAGUCUCGCAUUUGCACCCCCUUCUUCGCAGUCCCCCUCCCAUAGACUUGCUCUGGGAAGCGCCUCUGCCUCCGACCCUAGCCGGAACCCCUUCGGGGCCAGAGUUUGAAGCCGUGGAUGUGCCUGCCUGGUGGCUUGUCCGAUUUGCACGGUGACUUGAUUACACUCUCUCAUUCAUGGUCACUUCCGAAGCGCUUUAGUGCCUUCCGUCCCUAAACCGCCAACAGCCAGAACGGCUUCUCCCCGCGGUUUGUCACUGAUCCGCAGGGCCCGGAAGGGCCUUCGUCUUACCCGGGAUCCACCUCUCCCCUCAUCUUCCCUGCCUACCUCUUCAUCCCACCUUCUGUCCUUGGAGAAACUCCCUCCUCCUCGCUGCCUGCCGGGCUUCGGAGUGACUCGGCAGAGACAGAGGCACAGGGGCUGCCCUGCUGCUCACCGGUCCACCCAUCUGCCUGGUCUUCUGGAGCUGAGGACUCGGGAAACCAUGCAAUUGAGGCAAGCCUUGGGCUGCUUUAGAGGCGCUGACAUCCGAGGAGACUUCUCCUGGGAGGUCCAACAGCCGAGCUUAGCCCACCGGGCUCUGGGAAAGACCCGACUGAGGCUAAAGCCGCCCCGGAAGGCCAAGUCCGAGUUCCAUUUCUUGAAGAGGCCGGCGCGCGUAAGGCUGUGACAUUGGCCCUGGCGACUGGCUUCCCAGGAGCUGUUCUUUCUCAGGAGCUCCACAGCGCGGGCCAUCUCCAGAAAACUGUCUUCAGAGUGUAUUUCCUUUUAUCGUCAACCCAGAGCCCCACCGCGGCUAAUGCAAGAGGCCAAAAAAUGUUUGGAGGAAGAAAAACAAAGGCAGGAAGUGGCGGCGGCCUGACGGUGCGUGUGUGUCUGCAGAGAAGGGAGGGAGCCGGCUCAGUCUCUUCUUGUUUUUCCAAACUUCAAGGUCCAGGCAGCCCUCUGCAGGGCCGGGCCCCAUUGCUCCCCGCGCGGCAUUGGAGGUGGCCGCCCGGAGAGGAGAAGGCCAACGCCUGCGCCAGGCUUGUCAGGCGGAAACGGCUAACAAGGAGAUUUGGUCAGCAAAACAGACCCAGCCUUUCCGAGGCUUCGUCUGACUUGGCCCGAAAGGUUGGGGAGGGGGGGCUUGCGCAGAGCCUCAGGGACCCUCCUCUCUGGGGACUACCAUCCCUGAGCCUUACGCUUCUUUCCACAGCCUUUGCAGGCGGAAUAUCGGAAUAAAGUGGGUCCAGGCGCCUCUG
RNAcentral lists this long non-coding RNA (1564 nucleotides) under Homo sapiens (human). RNAcentral describes it as "HSALNT0339945". The stretch from base 436 to 622 matches the Rfam family "HOXA11 antisense RNA 1 conserved region 2". Lineage: Eukaryota; Metazoa; Chordata; Mammalia; Primates; Hominidae. The record is from RNAcentral.